GGCCUCCCUCCUGUGGGGCUGUGGGGGCUCCCUGUUCUCCUCAGCCAGGAUUGGAGGCCCAGAUCAGGCUUUGAGGAUCAUCGUUGGGGCUGCCGUGAGCUGGGCAGCCUUGUUUUCCUACCUCAGACAUUU
Molecule: non-coding RNA, 132 nt
Organism: Equus asinus (donkey)
Lineage: Eukaryota; Metazoa; Chordata; Mammalia; Perissodactyla; Equidae
Source: Ensembl